Ictidomys tridecemlineatus (thirteen-lined ground squirrel) is the source of this 60-nucleotide small nuclear RNA. Its record names the gene U7. It matches the Rfam family "U7 small nuclear RNA". Rfam says of the family: Animal histone pre-mRNAs are spliced by a different mechanism than nuclear pre-mRNAs and self-splicing introns. Lineage: Eukaryota; Metazoa; Chordata; Mammalia; Rodentia; Sciuridae. The record is from Ensembl.
AAGUGUUGCAGCUUUUAGAAUGUGUCUAGCAGGCUUUCUGGUUGUCACCAGAAGGUCAUC